GAUGAACGCUGGCGGCGUGCUUAACACAUGCAAGUCGAACGAUGAAGCCCAGCUUGCUGGGUGGAUUAGUGGCGGACGGGUGAGUAACACGUGAGCAACCUGCCCCUGACUCUGGGAUAAGCGCUGGAAACGGCGUCUAAUACUGGAUAUGUCCCGUCACCGCAUGGUGUGCGGGUGGAAAGAUUUUUCGGUUGGGGAUGGGCUCGCGGCCUAUCAGCUUGUUGGUGAGGUAAUGGCUCACCAAGGCGUCGACGGGUAGCCGGCCUGAGAGGGUGACCGGCCACACUGGGACUGAGACACGGCCCAGACUCCUACGGGAGGCAGCAGUGGGGAAUAUUGCACAAUGGGCGGAAGCCUGAUGCAGCAACGCCGCGUGAGGGAUGACGGCCUUCGGGUUGUAAACCUCUUUUAGCAGGGAAGAAGCGAAAGUGACGGUGCCUGCAGAAAAAGCACCGGCUAACUACGUG
Molecule: ribosomal RNA, 467 nt
Filed under: uncultured bacterium
Lineage: Bacteria
Description: partial 16S ribosomal RNA
Rfam family: Bacterial small subunit ribosomal RNA
Source: RNAcentral